UGAGACGCAAGUUAAGUGGGUGUCUCAUCAUGUAUAUGGACGACCAGGAUUCGAGGAAAAGAUCAAUAGACGGCCGAAGAUUCGAGCUUUGGUGGUUCCCGGAUACCCGAAGGAACGAGUGUCGAGGGAUGGACAUGGGAGGGUUCAGAUACGGCGAUUGGACCGGGGCCGUCGACGGCGUUCUGGAGACUGGAGAGGAGCCCCAGCUGCCAGGAGGAGCCAAGCUUACCAGAUCAAACCAUGAAUCCCAAAUUGGAAGCAGCAACACAGCUGCAAAAGACUAAUGUUGAAUGAAGCAUGAGUGGAAUUUAGACUGUGAAGCUCAUGUAUCCAUGCCUUCUGAUAUUUCCUUAAGAAAAUAAGAAAAAUACAAGAGGAGAAUUACUGGCUCUGCUAAGUAAGCGAAGAUCGCAAGAGCUGGGCUUUGAUUGCAUUCAGCGUCAGGGCCAUGGAAGUGACUGUUUCUGAAUCUGCUGUGACAGAGCAUUCAAGCAUAGGGGACCUCUCAAAUCUUUUAAUUUCUUCGGGAGGGAUAUAGUGGGCCUGAGGCCUCCAUCGCGGAGGCAGGUGGAGCCAUGGUGGUUGGUGGAUAAAGGCCGGCUGGACACAACCAUGCUGGCCAGGAUAACGAGACAGAAGAUAUGGGAUUGAUGUGUACAAAGGCAAGGAACAAGAUAAAGAUCUUCAAAUGAGCAAUCCAUGAAGGAUGACCGAUUGCGCUGAAUAGAGAGGAAAGCAAUGCACAUGGGUGGCUCGAGCCAAGAAGUGGUCCUCAAGAAGCAUCUCGAGACAUAUCGAUAUUGCACUCAUGCAAGAAGACCCAAUGGAAGCAUAAAAGAAGAGUGUUCUUCCUCGAAGCAAGUACAAUCGGGUGAUUGGCAAUCCAUCCUAGGAAAUGAUCACCAUAGCAGGCUGCUGGAACAAAGAUGAGAGAGAGAGAUACCAUCACCACCAGAUGUGAACAUGGAGAUGUCACAGGACUUAGCAACUAUACUGAUAUGUCACCUGUCUUGUGGAAAUAGAGAGUUGUUCUCUGCAGUCAUAUUGCAUAGUUUCUGUCAGUGAUGGCUGAUAUCAUGACAACACUCUCCGGGGAUCUGUAAUCAAAUUUAGAUUUGGAUUCCAACGAGACUUAUCAUUUCUUUUUUCUAGUAUGAC
This is a long non-coding RNA of Musa acuminata AAA Group (dessert banana), 1158 nucleotides long. RefSeq lists it as uncharacterized. The record is from RefSeq and is a predicted model, not a curated record. The transcript has 4 exons. NCBI's taxonomy places the organism in Eukaryota, Viridiplantae, Streptophyta, Magnoliopsida, Zingiberales, Musaceae.